UACGUAGGGUGCGAGCGUUAAUCGGAAUUACUGGGCGUAAAGUGUGCGCAGGCGGCUUCGCAAGUCGAGUGUGAAAUCCCCGAGCUUAACUUGGGAAUUGCGCUCGAAACUACGGAGCUGGAGUGUGGCAGAGGAAGGUGGAAUUCCACGUGUAGCGGUGAAAUGCGUAGAGAUGUGGAGGAAUACCGAUGGCGAAGGCAGCCCCCUGGGAUAACACUGACGCUCAUGCACGAAAGCGUGGGGAGCAAACAGG
RNAcentral lists this ribosomal RNA (253 nucleotides) under uncultured bacterium. RNAcentral's name for it is "partial 16S ribosomal RNA". It matches the Rfam family "Bacterial small subunit ribosomal RNA", at positions 524 to 776 of the family's 1533-position model. The record is from RNAcentral.